ACUCCUUGCUAACCCUUGUGGCCCCGCGGCCCCUGGGCGACGGCUGGUACCCCUUAUUUUAACUGAUAUUAGGAUUGUUCCCCUCUAGCCACCUAAUUCUAUGGAGGCUCGGAGAAUCCAGCCGAGCCCAGUGCGUUCACCCGGCUGGCCGACUGUCCCGUAGUGUUUUCCCCACUUGCUUCUGUCUCGCUUAAAAACGCAGUUGACAUUAAUCGAAGGCUUACUGAGUGGUAGAUAGUGCAUUACGCGCUUCGGCUGCGUUAACUAUUUUAAUCACCUUCAAACUCCUGGAAAUCGGUGCUAUUCUCUACGUCUUACAGACAAGGAAACCGGCCAGAACCGUUUGUAAACACUUCCAUAAUUCCCAAGUUCAAGACGCCCUUCCAUGCCUCCUAGUAGAGUGAAGCAAAUACCAGACUCCGCACAGUCAAAACUUCGGUUGUCUCCAGCCAUACCAACAUGCGCACACGUGCGCGUGCACACACACACACACACACCACACACACACACACGCCGAGGCCUGGAGACCUAAUGAAAGGAAUACUCAAUCACAGACUCUCAUCUAACUGACUUACUUUAUGUGUAUGAAUGACUUGCCUGUGCCCAGAGACGUCAGAAGAGGCCAACUGGAUCUCCUGAAACUGGAUUUAUAAAUAGUGUAUGAGGGCGAGGAACCCAGAAGCCUAGGAGCUUUCUAAACGGUGACUGUGGAGAGCAGCCAAGGAUGUAGAAUGGUGCCAAGUUCAGAAUCCUCAAGUUGCUCCCUGCAACUGCAGAAACGCGUGUACAAAGUGUACUUCACAGGGGCAGAGCAUCUCACCUACAAAGAGAGAGCACAGGCGGAUAAUAGUGGGGAUCAGGGAAUAGAGUGUUUCAGGAGAUAGCAAGAGAAUGUUCUCUGAAGAAAAAGCCAACGACUUUUGGAGAAGGAAGAAAGGAGAAUUAAGUCAGAAGUCCUCGCUACACAUAUUUAAAAUGUUUCUCUUAUAGUAAAUUAAUGGCCGAACUUUUAUUACUCCUACAGCAAGCUCAAUGCACUUAAAAAGAUACAUACAAAUGUGGAAAUCCAAAGUUAUUCCUAAUUUGAAAGAUGUUUAAUUUGAAAUAUCCCUGGACCCAAACCACUGCAAAUGUUUAUUGCAUGCUUGUUGUGCACGAGGCACAGGAUGUUACAGAGAAUACCAAGAACGCCGAGCACCAGAAGAGAAUAAAAAUGCCAGUUGGGGAGAUGAGUUGUGGUCUCAUAGAAAUGAGCCAUAAGGCUGGAGCGCAUCUCCUGAUGAUUGCAGAAGGAGUAGCAGAGUCGUUAAUUCGGGGAGACCCUUUUCAUCAUUCAUGCUCUUAAGACCAACUCUGAGAUGGAACUUAAUAUUUUAAAGGAUUUGUAAAGGACCCCGGCGUUUUUUAAGUAUGGCUGUAAGGGAGUUCAAAGCACAACUAGGAACUCUCCUGCCUCAGACUCCCAAGAUCUGGAAUUACAGGCACACUUCACCACACCUGGUCUUCGGCGUGACUGCAGUUUUAAAGCGUGAUGUUAGUCCUUAUGGACUCCUGUAGCAAGACCUCCAAGUCAGGUCGCUCUCGUGUUUCCCCUCAACUUCUUACAUCUGAAACACCCAGAACUCCAUCCUUUGUUUUCCUCAUCUAUGUUUCCCUCCAUUAGUGAUCUCAUCCACUUUCAAAGAUGUGCAUGUUAUCUAUAAGUAUCCAAAAGGAGAAAUUCCCACAGGCUGCUGUAGUGCCCUGAAAACAGGCUAGCAAGAGAAGACUCUUCAAGUUCAGUGUGGGCUACAGCCAAAACAAAAACCUGGAGACAGAGCAGAACGGUAUGGUGCGCUGGAGUCAGAAAGGGAACACCAUUCUAGGUUUCUAAUAAACUGACGUAGAUAUUGGGAGAGGUGACAGAGGAGGACUGUGUAGAAGGAUGAACACAAUGGUACCCUGAAGCUGAAAGCAACUGUAAGCAAUCCUAUGUUUCCAAUACGCUCUCCAUAUAAAUGCUUCUCCCAUUGUUUCUGUGACACCCUCUGCUUUUCACUUAAGUACCCUCUUCACAAGUAAAAUUUGCAAAGAGUCCUCUUUCUAUAUUGGAAGGCCUGGCUACUUUUCUAUGAUUGCAGUUUACCCUGCAUUCUGUGUGAGCAUAAACACAUAAAAUAUUUAUACAUCCCUCCAAUCUAUAGAAAAGUCACUU
Non-coding RNA from Myodes glareolus (Bank vole), 2194 nucleotides. NCBI's taxonomy places the organism in Eukaryota, Metazoa, Chordata, Mammalia, Rodentia, Cricetidae. The record is from RefSeq and is a predicted model, not a curated record.